This 460-nucleotide ribosomal RNA is filed under the name uncultured bacterium. RNAcentral's name for it is "partial 16S ribosomal RNA". It matches the Rfam family "Bacterial small subunit ribosomal RNA", at positions 338 to 795 of the family's 1533-position model. The record is from RNAcentral.
CCUACGGGAGGCAGCAGUGAGGAAUAUUGGGCAAUGGCCGGAAGCCUGAACCAGCAAAGCCGCGUGAAGGACGAAGGUGCCAAGCAUUGUAAACUUCUUUUGUCAAGGGACAAAAUCAGGCUCGAGAGCCUGACCGAGGGUACUUGAAGAAAAAGCAUCGGCUAACUACGUGACAGCAGCCGCGGGAAUACGGGGGAUGCGAGCGUUAUCCGGAAUUAUUGGGUUUAAAGGGGGCGUUGGCGGACUGUUAAGUCAGCGGUGAAAGCCCGGGGCUCAACCCUGGCGAGGCGGUGGAAACGGGAUGUCUUGAGAGGUGGAGAGGUAAGCGGAAUGCGCAGUGUAGCGGUGAAAUGCUUAGAUAUUGCGAAGAACUCCAGUGGCGAAGGCAGCAUACCGGCGGGGAUCUGACGCUGAGGCACGAAAGCGUGGGUAUCGAACAGGAUUAGAUACCCGAGUAGUC